GAUGAACGCUAGCGGGAGGCCUAACACAUGCAAGCCGAGCGGUAGAGAUCUUUCGGGAUCUUGAGAGCGGCGUACGGGUGCGGAACACGUGUGCAACCUGCCUUUAUCAGGGGGAUAGCCUUUCGAAAGGAAGAUUAAUACCCCAUAAUAUAUUGAAUGGCAUCAUUUGAUAUUGAAAACUCCGGUGGAUAGAGAUGGGCACGCGCAAGAUUAGAUAGUUGGUAGGGUAACGGCCUACCAAGUCAGUGAUCUUUAGGGGGCCUGAGAGGGUGAUCCCCCACACUGGUACUGAGACACGGACCAGACUCCUACGGGAGGCAGCAGUGAGGAAUAUUGGACAAUGGGUGAGAGCCUGAUCCAGCCAUCCCGCGUGAAGGACGACGGCCCUAUGGGUUGUAAACUUCUUUUGUAUAGGGAUAAACCUUUCCACGUGUGGAAAGCUGAAGGUACUAUGCGAAUAAGCACCGGCUAACUCCGUGCCAGCAGCCGCGGUAAUACGGAGGGUGCAAGCGUUAUCCGGAUUUAUUGGGUUUAAAGGGUCCGUAGGCGGAUCUGUAAGUCAGUGGUGAAAUCUCAUAGCUUAACUAUGAAACUGCCAUUGAUACUGCAGGUCUUGAGUAAAGUAGAAGUGGCUGGAAUAAGUAGUGUAGCGGUGAAAUGCAUAGAUAUUACUUAGAACACCAAUUGCGAAGGCAGGUCACUAUGUUUUAACUGACGCUGAUGGACGAAAGCGUGGGGAGCGAACAGGAUUAGAUACCCUGGUAGUCCACGCCGUAAACGAUGCUAACUCGUUUUUGGGUCUUCGGAUUCAGAGACUAAGCGAAAGUGAUAAGUUAGCCACCUGGGGAGUACGUUCGCAAGAAUGAAACUCAAAGGAAUUGACGGGGGCCCGCACAAGCGGUGGAUUAUGUGGUUUAAUUCGAUGAUACGCGAGGAACCUUACCAAGGCUUAAAUGGGAAUUGACAGGUUUAGGAAUAGACUUUUCUUCGGACAAUUUUCAAGGUGCUGCAUGGUUGUCGUCAGCUCGUGCCGUGAGGUGUUAGGUUAAGUCCUGCAACGAGCGCAACCCCUGUCACUAGUUGCCAUCAUUCAGUUGGGGACUCUAGUGAGACUGCCUACGCAAGUAGAGAGGAAGGUGGGGAUGACGUCAAAUCAUCACGGCCCUUACGCCUUGGGCCACACACGUAAUACAAUGGCCGGUACAGAGGGCAGCUACCUAGCGAUAGGAUGCGAAUCUCGAAAGCCGGUCUCAGUUCGGAUUGGAGUCUGCAACUCGACUCUAUGAAGCUGGAAUCGCUAGUAAUCGCAUAUCAGCCAUGAUGCGGUGAAUACGUUCCCGGGCCU
RNAcentral lists this ribosomal RNA (1345 nucleotides) under uncultured bacterium. RNAcentral's name for it is "bacterial SSU rRNA". It matches the Rfam family "Bacterial small subunit ribosomal RNA", at positions 28 to 1381 of the family's 1533-position model. The record is from RNAcentral.